Molecule: ribosomal RNA, 1200 nt
Filed under: Lactiplantibacillus plantarum
Lineage: Bacteria; Bacillati; Bacillota; Bacilli; Lactobacillales; Lactobacillaceae
Description: bacterial SSU rRNA
Rfam family: Bacterial small subunit ribosomal RNA
Source: RNAcentral
ACAUCCCGCUAUAAUGCAGUCGACGAACUCUGGUAUUGAUUGGUGCUUGCAUCAUGAUUUACAUUUGAGUGAGUGGCGAACUGGUGAGUAACACGUGGGAAACCUGCCCAGAAGCGGGGGAUAACACCUGGAAACAGAUGCUAAUACCGCAUAACAACUUGGACCGCAUGGUCCGAGCUUGAAAGAUGGCUUCGGCUAUCACUUUUGGAUGGUCCCGCGGCGUAUUAGCUAGAUGGUGGGGUAACGGCUCACCAUGGCAAUGAUACGUAGCCGACCUGAGAGGGUAAUCGGCCACAUUGGGACUGAGACACGGCCCAAACUCCUACGGGAGGCAGCAGUAGGGAAUCUUCCACAAUGGACGAAAGUCUGAUGGAGCAACGCCGCGUGAGUGAAGAAGGGUUUCGGCUCGUAAAACUCUGUUGUUAAAGAAGAACAUAUCUGAGAGUAACUGUUCAGGUAUUGACGGUAUUUAACCAGAAAGCCACGGCUAACUACGUGCCAGCAGCCGCGGUAAUACGUAGGUGGCAAGCGUUGUCCGGAUUUAUUGGGCGUAAAGCGAGCGCAGGCGGUUUUUUAAGUCUGAUGUGAAAGCCUUCGGCUCAACCGAAGAAGUGCAUCGGAAACUGGGAAACUUGAGUGCAGAAGAGGACAGUGGAACUCCAUGUGUAGCGGUGAAAUGCGUAGAUAUAUGGAAGAACACCAGUGGCGAAGGCGGCUGUCUGGUCUGUAACUGACGCUGAGGCUCGAAAGUAUGGGUAGCAAACAGGAUUAGAUACCCUGGUAGUCCAUACCGUAAACGAUGAAUGCUAAGUGUUGGAGGGUUUCCGCCCUUCAGUGCUGCAGCUAACGCAUUAAGCAUUCCGCCUGGGGAGUACGGGCCGCAAGGCUGAAACUCAAAGGAAUUGACGGGGGCCCGCACAAGCGGUGGAGCAUGUGGUUUAAUUCGAAGCUACGCGAAGAACCUUACCAGGUCUUGACAUACUAUGCAAAUCUAAGAGAUUAGACGUUUCCCUUCGGGGACAUGGAUACAGGUGGUGCAUGAUUGUCGUCAGCUCGUGUCGUGAGAUGUGGUUAAGUCUUGCAACGAGCGCUGCUCUUUAAUAAUCAGAGACUAGCCAUCAGGUGGCACCUCUGAUUGAGACUGCCUGGUGACUACCUGGAGGAAGGUGAGGUAAUGGAACGUUCGAAUUCAAUCCAAUG